Colius striatus (speckled mousebird) is the source of this 68-nucleotide small nucleolar RNA. RefSeq annotates it as small nucleolar RNA SNORD58. The record is from RefSeq and is a predicted model, not a curated record. The transcript has a single exon. Lineage: Eukaryota; Metazoa; Chordata; Aves; Coliiformes; Coliidae.
UUGCUGUGAUGGCAAUCUUAGGACACCUUUAGAAUACUCAUUUAAAAAAAAAGCAAUUUCUGAGCAAU